This 272-nucleotide long non-coding RNA is filed under the name Capsella rubella. Its description in RNAcentral is "long non-coding RNA (CRUB_LNC000286)". The record is from RNAcentral. Lineage: Eukaryota; Viridiplantae; Streptophyta; Magnoliopsida; Brassicales; Brassicaceae.
UGCGUGGAUUUGAUAGGUUCGGAUCCGGUUAAAAUGCCCAUCCUCGUACAAAUCAUUUACUCAUUCGAUGUUGUUAUUGACAGCGAACGAGAGAAGUUGAGUGAUGAGGACACAGCUUUAGGAUACAAACCAAAUUGUUUAGUCUAAAGUCUAAACCAACAUUUAUUUAGAGAAAAAAGAAAAAAAAGUUCGUGGUACAUUAUAUGCAUCCUUGCUCUGAAAACACUUUAAAAGAAUUUAAAGAAACUAAACUCUUGUUCUGUAAGAUUUUG